Molecule: long non-coding RNA, 2689 nt
Organism: Sciurus carolinensis (gray squirrel)
Lineage: Eukaryota; Metazoa; Chordata; Mammalia; Rodentia; Sciuridae
Exons: 6
Source: RefSeq, a predicted model, not a curated record
CCGGGGUCCGCCCACUCGGGCCCUCGGGGCGGGUCCCGCCGGGCCUGAUCCCCGGUUCCUCCGAUGUCCCUGCGGUUUGCGCGACUCUGAAGGGUCAGGACUGGCUGCCGGCGGGGGCUGGGAGAGGGAGCCCGGGGCGCGCCUUUUGCCUGCUCUCCGCCCCGCCCCCCAGGUUUGGAGGAGUUUUCCUUUCGGGAAAGUCCCUCGGAGGCCUGUUGGCCGGUGUCAGGCUGACCUUCACAGGCGGGAGGGUUUCCCUCUGCGCCGCGCGUUUCCGGUAGCCCCCGAAUCCAGCGAUGGCGGGUGGGGGAUUGGGGUUUGGGGGUGAGGCCCCCACUCCUUGACUCUCCGCCUGCAGGGGAAGCGCUUUGGAGAAGUUGGGUAACUUUAGAUUCUUCACACUGAAUGAGGGCCUCAGUUCACCUGCUGACCUGGACUCCAGCUUUCCUCACUUCCUAUCACUUAAGGAAUAAGGGUUGGGGGAGAGUCCCGCCUUGGUGGAAUAGUCAGAUGUUUAGCUCCUGUGACAUGCGCCUGUACUAGGGAACUGCUCUGCCACCUCCUUCUUAACUUGCACAAGUAUACAGAGAUUGAAAAAAUAACCUUGAGAGAAUCUAUCCCUGAUUCUAGAAAGAGAAAUUUGAUCUCGGUGACAAGCAUGCAUAGAGGGAAGACACUGAAGACACAGAGAAAGUGUCAUCUACAAGAAAAGGAAUGACAGGCUGCCAAGCUGAGGAAUACUGAAGCUAGGAAAGAGGAGUGGAACAGAUUCUCUCUCAUGAUUGUCUGAAGGAACCAACUCUGCCAACUCCUUGAUUUUGGACUUCUAGCCUCCAGAACUGUGCUUGUAUAUGCUUUACGGCAAGCUCAGGAGGAAAAUGCCAUAACCCUUGUUUGGCAGGUGGAGGAACUGUUAGCUUCUCAAGGACACAUUGCUGAUCUUCAUUACUAUGACUCCUAUUCUUCCUUUGGGACUCAGCUCAGAUAUUACCUCUUCAAAGAGAGCUCUCAUGAUACCUUCCCCUGCCUGUCAAAGAAACAUAAAUUGAGAUCUGCUCGAAGACUGAUGGUCUUGAAUUUUUAGUUUUUACUAGGUGAGAAGAAAAUGGGAAGACUGAAAGGCAAAAUGUUGCUUCCAGCAUCUUCGUCAAAACAAUAGUUUUUGUAAAACUCACUGAAUUCACUUCAGCAUUGGCCAGAACUGAGUCAUAUAUUCACUACGGCUGCAUGGGAGACUGGAAUCUGGGCAACUCUGAGCUAGUACGUGGGCAUCAUGCACAAAAUCACAGUUAGCGAAGGAGAGAGUGGAUGGUGAGUGACCCCUAGCAGUGUUUGCCACAUGGUGAAAGUAAUAAACUAUGGUAGAGGGUCAGAGGAAUCGGGGCACCCACCAGUAGGAAAUACUGGUGAAGAAGUGUCACAGAAGGUUUAAAGAAAAGCUGACUUAAAGUAUAGAGAAGUAGUAACCGAUGAACCAUUAUUCUCAGGUAGAAGCAAAGAUGGGACUCUUGUGACUGACCUAAAGACCUAAAGUCGUAUUAACCACCGAUCAUGUGUGCCUUAUUUAUUCAAUAAUUUCCUCUCUGAGGAUGAGUACACAGUGUUUUUAAUAAAGUAGUACAGAGACUCAAUGAUCUUGUUACUCUGACUUGAGUUAUGAUUAAUCUUGAGCACUUUGGAAUAGUAUUUUUUCUAAAUUUUUUAAAGAUGAAUUUGUCCCCAGUAGGGUCAUUCUUAUUUUCAAAUGUGGUGUGGGUUUUAUCAAUAAUAUGUCAUGUGAUUUCAUUUCUAUGCCUUGACUCAUCAUGCUUUUUACUGCCUGAGUGCAAUCAAAACCCAGCAAGAGUAGUAUUCAAAAGAAAUGCCAUAAACAAUGGGCAUAGCAUUCCUACAUAGUGUGCUGACUUGUAAUUAGAAUUUUAUAAAUCUGUUGAGUUUCCAAACAAACUACUAGAAAUCCUGAUUCCUCAGGCAUUAGAUAUAGACCCUCUGUGUUCAUUGUUUAAUAUAAUAAGGGUAGAUUAAAAAACAAAAUUUUAUUUGUAAAUAUCAUGUACCUGUUUUUCUAUAUUCUCAUAUUUUUCAUUGAAUCUGUUGUACUAAGUCAAGCACAAAUUCAGAGAACUCCAAAAGAAGGACUAAAAUUUUCUGAUAAUACUUUUAGUAAUGUAACAAUAUGAAGGUGAAGAUAUUUGGAGAGAUAAAUGGUUCUCAGAUAAACCUGGAGAUUUGGCUGUGACAUGACUCAUUUUUGCUUAGGGGUUAAUUCUUAUGGUCUAACUUUAUUUUCCACUAGUUAUGUCUUUCUCAAAUUUCUAAACAUACCCUUUCUCUCUUUAGACAACAGUUUGAAUAAGCCACCUUAUCUUUUUAUUGAUUUCCUUUAUAAUUGGACAGAUACCAAAUUGUAGUCUUAAUCUGAUCCUUUUUUCCUCACAGUCCAACAUGAUUCCUAUGAUCAGAUCGGCAAUAACAAUCAUGGUAGUGAUUCAAUUUGGCAGCUUCCAGUGCAAUUAAUUGAAGUAGAAAGAAAUAAAUCUGCAGAGCAUAUAUUAAGUAAUUUUGUGAAGCUCUUAUUUAAAAAGUUUUGUUAAAUGUUCCUUUUAAAUGUUGGCUCAGUGUUCACAUCUGAGAACUCACUAAAUCCUGUAAGAGCUCAUAAAUGAAUAUCUAACUUGCAGUCAAAACA